ACGAAGGGGGCUAGCGUUGUUCGGAAUUACUGGGCGUAAAGCGCGUGUAGGCGGUUGCCCAAGUCGGGUGUGAAAGCCUUGAGCUCAACUCAAGAAAUGCACUCGGUACUGGGUGACUAGAGGACCGGAGAGGAUAGUGGAAUUCCCAGUGUAGUGGUGAAAUACGUAGAGAUUGGGAAGAACACCAGUGGCGAAGGCGGCUAUCUGGACGGUUUCUGACGCUAAGACGCGAAAGCGUGGGGAGCAAACAGG
Molecule: ribosomal RNA, 252 nt
Filed under: uncultured bacterium
Lineage: Bacteria
Description: partial 16S ribosomal RNA
Rfam family: Bacterial small subunit ribosomal RNA
Source: RNAcentral